UUUCCGUAGGUGAACCUGCGGAAGGAUCAUUAUUGAAUAAACCUGGCUUGGUUGAUGCUGGUCUUUUCGGAGACAUGUGCACACCUUGUCAUCUUUAUAUCUCCACCUGUGCACCUUUUGUAGACCUGGAUUCAACUUUCCUAGGAAACUCGGUUGUGAGGAAUUGCUUAAUAGGCUUUCCUUGUUAGUUUCCAGGGCUAUGUUUUCAUAUACACCUUAAGAAUGUAACAGAAUGUCAUUAUUAGGCUUAAUUGCCUUAUAAACUAUAUACAACUUUCAGCAACGGAUCUCUUGGCUCUC
This 300-nucleotide unclassified non-coding RNA is filed under the name plant metagenome. RNAcentral's name for it is "partial contains small subunit ribosomal RNA, internal transcribed spacer 1, and 5.8S ribosomal RNA". The record is from RNAcentral.